Molecule: long non-coding RNA, 347 nt
Organism: Lacerta agilis (Sand lizard)
Lineage: Eukaryota; Metazoa; Chordata; Lepidosauria; Squamata; Lacertidae
Exons: 2
Source: RefSeq, a predicted model, not a curated record
GAGAGGAGGCGGGCAGGCGAGGCGCCGGGUCUGCAGAGCGCGUGGCUGGACGGUAUCAUGAAGGGGAGCGCCUCUGGAACAAGUUGGAAUGGAGAAGCACAAAAUCAAGAAGCUGAUGCAAGCGGUCAUUAAACGCACUGGAUGUUUUGGGGAUCACACUCUGAGAGGAAAUCGGCAAUGUGCAGACAUAUAACUCCAGUUAUUGAGCAGGGACUUCAGAAUCUGUAACACACUGCACUUUUUAAAGUUGACUCUUCAUCUCGUAUAAAUGGUGGCAUUUUCCUUUGCUCUCUGGAAAUUCCAUUUAUGCCUUCUGCACUGUCGUGUAUUAUCUGCCAUUGCUUCAG